GUUAGGAAUAUUGGACAAUGGGCGCAAGCCUGAUCCAGCCAUGCCGCGUGAGUGAUGAAGGCCUUCGGGUUGUAAAGCUCUUUAGCCGAUGAUUAUAAUGACUGUAGUCGGAAAAUAAGCCCCGGCUAACUUCGUGCCAGCAGCCGCGGUAAUACGAAGGGGGCGAGCGUUAUUCGGAAUCACUGGGCGUAAAGCGUGCGUAGGCGGCUUUGCAAGUUGGGAGUGAAAGCCCAGGGCUCAACCCUGGAAUUGAUAUCAAAACUGCAAGGCUCGAAUUCAGGAGAGGAUAGCGGAAUUGUCAGUGUAGCAGUGAAAUGCGUAGAUAUUGACAGGAACACCAGUGGCGUAAGCGGCUAUCUGGACCGAUAUUGACGCUGAGGCACGAAAGCGUGGGGAUCAAACAGGAUUAGAUACCCCGGUAGUCC
This 425-nucleotide ribosomal RNA is filed under the name uncultured bacterium. Its description in RNAcentral is "bacterial SSU rRNA". It matches the Rfam family "Bacterial small subunit ribosomal RNA", at positions 354 to 796 of the family's 1533-position model. The record is from RNAcentral.